Molecule: ribosomal RNA, 497 nt
Filed under: uncultured bacterium
Lineage: Bacteria
Description: partial 16S ribosomal RNA
Rfam family: Bacterial small subunit ribosomal RNA
Source: RNAcentral
GACGAACGCUGGCGGCGUGCCUAAUACAUGCAAGUUGAGCGAUGAAGAUUGGUGCUUGCACCAAUUUGAAGAGCAGCGAACGGGUGAGUAACGCGUGGGGAAUCUGCCUUUGAGCGGGGGACAACAUUUGGAAACGAAUGCUAAUACCGCAUAACAACUUUAAACAUAAGUUUUAAGUUUGAAAGAUGCAAUUGCAUCACUCAAAGAUGAUCCCGCGUUGUAUUAGCUAGUUGGUGAGGUAAAGGCUCACCAAGGCGAUGAUACAUAGCCGACCUGAGAGGGUGAUCGGCCACAUUGGGACUGAGACACGGCCCAAACUCCUAAGGGAGGCAGCAGUAGGGAAUCUUCGGCAAUGGACGAAAGUCUGACCGAGGAACGCCGCGGGAGGGAAGAAGGGUGUCGGAUCGUAAAACUAUGUUGGUAGGGAAGAACGUUGGUGAGAGUGGAAAGCUCAUCAAGUGACGGUAACUACACAGAAAGGGACGGCUAACUACGUG